UAUCUCUCUGCUGAUUCAUCUUCAAGACAAGUCCUCCUCUCCAGGGCCGAAAUGUCGCAGAUCUUUGAAUCAGUCAAGCAGUUACACAACACCUUCAAUGCCUUUGCUGGAAAGGAUGGCUGUAUGAGCAAACAGGAAUUUGUUGCCAUGUUGCACAAAGAGAUGCCCAACCUGCCUCAGGAGAUCUUUCAGGAUCUGGAUGCUGAUUGCAGUGGCUCUCUGAAUUUCAAGGAGUUUGCUACCUUCAUAGCAACUAUCUCUACUGUCACUUAUAAAUAAAGUUGAUGGCACAGA
Molecule: long non-coding RNA, 294 nt
Organism: Synchiropus splendidus (mandarinfish)
Lineage: Eukaryota; Metazoa; Chordata; Actinopteri; Syngnathiformes; Callionymidae
Exons: 3
Source: RefSeq, a predicted model, not a curated record